UCCUACGGGAGGCAGCAGUGGGGAAUAUUGCACAAUGGGCGCAAGCCUGAUGCAGCCAUGCCGCGUGUAUGAAGAAGGCCUUAGGGUUGUAAAGCUCUUUUCUCCGGGACGAUAAUGACGGUACCGGAGGAAUAAGCCCCGGCUAACUUCGUGCCAGCAGCCGCGGUA
This 168-nucleotide ribosomal RNA is filed under the name uncultured Methylobacterium sp. RNAcentral's name for it is "partial 16S ribosomal RNA". It matches the Rfam family "Bacterial small subunit ribosomal RNA", at positions 337 to 522 of the family's 1533-position model. The record is from RNAcentral. Lineage: Bacteria; Pseudomonadati; Pseudomonadota; Alphaproteobacteria; Hyphomicrobiales; Methylobacteriaceae.